AACUUAAGCAUAUCAAUAAGCGGAGGAAAAGAAACUAACAAGGAUUCCCCUAGUAACUGCGAGUGAAGCGGGAAAAGCUCAAAUUUAAAAUCUGGCGGUCUUUGGCCGUCCGAGUUGUAAUCUAGAGAAGUAAUGCCCGUGCUGGACCGUGUAUAAGUCUCCUGGGAUGGGGCGUCAUAGAGGGUGAGAAUCCCGUCUUUGACACGGACUACCAGUGCAUUGUGGUAUGCUCUCAAAGAGUCGAGUUGUUUGGGAAUGCAGCUCAAAAUGGGUGGUAAAUUCCAUCUAAAGCUAAAUAUUGGCGAGAGACCGAUAGCGAACAAGUACCGUGAGGGAAAGAUGAAAAGAACUUUGGAAAGAGAGUUAAACAGUACGUGAAAUUGCUGAAAGGGAAACGCUUGAAGUCAGUCGCGUUGGCCAGGGAUCAGCCUUGCUCUUGCAUGGUGUACUUUCUGGUUGACGGGUCAGCAUCAAUUUUGACCGCUGGAAAAGGGCCUGGGGAAUGUGGCAGCUUCGGCUGUGUUAUAGCCCCUGGUCGCAUACGGUGGUUGGGAUUGAGGAACUCAGCACGCCGCAAGGCCGGGUUUCGACCACGUUCGUGCUUAGGAUGCUGGCAUAAUGGCUUUAAGCGACCCGUCUUG
Molecule: ribosomal RNA, 641 nt
Filed under: Agaricus bambusetorum
Lineage: Eukaryota; Fungi; Basidiomycota; Agaricomycetes; Agaricales; Agaricaceae
Description: partial large subunit ribosomal RNA
Rfam family: Eukaryotic large subunit ribosomal RNA
Source: RNAcentral